Molecule: long non-coding RNA, 1055 nt
Filed under: Homo sapiens (human)
Lineage: Eukaryota; Metazoa; Chordata; Mammalia; Primates; Hominidae
Description: HSALNT0014940
Source: RNAcentral
UUUCUGGCUCUGUGCCAUUCUCUCUCAACGCUCCAUUCCCUCUUUCCUACUAUCUACUGAGUCCCACCCAUCUAUUGCUUUAUUUCUUCUCCACCAUCCCUCUCUUAGUCUCUGUUAGGAAAACUAAAAGGACAGAAAACAGGAAUGAACAUUAGGGUAGAUUUAAGAAUUUCUUUGGGCAAGGAUUCCAGCACUCUAGUCUGGUUGAUAGGUGUUUUCAGAAGCAGAAUUUAUUCCAAAUACAUACAUGCAUCUUCUCCUCUCUACCUAACAUGGAACAGUUUAAUAAAAAGUAAUAGAUGCUUUCUCAGUAAGAUUUUGCUUGGGGAUUCAAAAAAAUUGGGUAGGAAAUGGUAGACAUAUUUCACUACAUUAAAAAAAUUUUCCGGCCGGGCGCAGUGGCUCACGCCUGUAAUCCCAACACUUUGGGAGGCCAAGGCAGGGGGAUCACGAGACCAGGAGAUCGAGACUAUCCUGGCUAACACAGAUAAACCCCAUCUCUACUAAAAACACAAAAAUUAGCCGGGCGUGGCGGCGUGUGCCUGUAGUCCCAGCUGCUGGGGAGGCUGAGGCAGGAGAAUGGCGUGAACCCAGGCGGCGGAGCUUGCAGUGAGCUGAGAUUGUCCCACUGCCCUCCAGCCUGGGCAACAGAGCGAGACUCCAUCUACAAAAAAAAAAAAAAAAUUUACCAGCCAGGUAUGGUGGCUCAUGCCCAUAAUCCCAGCACUUUGGGAGGCCGAGGUGGGCGGAUCACCUGAGGUCAGGAGUUCGAGACCAGCCUGGACAACAUGGUGAAACCCCGUCUCUACUAAAAAUACAAAAAUUAGCUGGGCGUGGUGGCAGGUGCCUGUAGUCCCAGCUUCUGGGGAGGCUGAGGCAGGAGAAUCACUUGAACCCAGGAGGCGGAGGUUGCAGUGAGCCUAGACUGCACCAUUGCACUCCAGUCUGGGGGACAAGAGCGAGACUUCCUCUUAAAAAAAAGAAAAAAAAAUUCCUUACUUCUCCUGGACUUUCAAAAAAGUUUUUAUUGUAGUAAAACACAAAAUUUACCAUCG